This 404-nucleotide long non-coding RNA is filed under the name Helianthus annuus (common sunflower). Lineage: Eukaryota; Viridiplantae; Streptophyta; Magnoliopsida; Asterales; Asteraceae. The record is from RNAcentral.
CCCAAACUUCUCGGUUCUUCCAUUAUGUUCAUACCACAAUGGCAUAUGGUUUUCCAGUUGGAUUUGUGCACUGGAAAAGGUAAACUUUAAUCAGUACUUUCAUUUACCCUUGUUAUUUUGAGGACUAAUACCGUAGAGGUGGCAAAACGGGUGGGUUGGAUAAUGGGCCACUAACGGUUGGAUUUGGUUGAACCAAUACACUUUACCCAUAACUUUUAAUCCAUUUAUAAACAUUUAGUGUGCCAAAUAGGAUCAAUUUAUGUUAUUUCAGUGAUGUUUGGGGUGGUUUUAUAAACUAAGCAUACACUUUGAGCUGUUUUUAACCACUCAUAUUCUGAUAUCUACUUAAAAUUUUUAACAUUAUUUAUGUAUAAUUUGGUUCAAAAGCUAUAUCGAACAUCAUA